Molecule: microRNA precursor, 110 nt
Filed under: Echinops telfairi (small Madagascar hedgehog)
Lineage: Eukaryota; Metazoa; Chordata; Mammalia; Afrosoricida; Tenrecidae
Description: miRNA (ENSETEG00000025472.1)
Rfam family: Eukaryotic large subunit ribosomal RNA
Source: RNAcentral
CCUCCGAAGUUUCCCUCAGGAUAGCUGGCGCUCUCGCAGGAAAAAAACGGGGCAGUUUUAUCCGGUUAAAGCGAAUGAUUAGAGGUCUUGGGGCCGAAACCGAUCUCAAC